Long non-coding RNA from Armigeres subalbatus, 741 nucleotides. RefSeq lists it as uncharacterized. The record is from RefSeq and is a predicted model, not a curated record. The transcript has 3 exons. Lineage: Eukaryota; Metazoa; Arthropoda; Insecta; Diptera; Culicidae.
AAUUUUCAGGCGCGAGCUUGGGCGCGAACAAUACAGUCUUGAAGAAAACCAAUUCUUAGCCGCAGUAACAAACACAAUUUGGGAUUAUGGAAUACUGGUGAAAGUACUCGAGGUUUUCAUAAUUGUGUUACAGGCAGAAUUAUCGGCAGCGAAGAACUUGGUAAUCAAUUGGGCUUAUGCGAAAAUUCGGCAGAUCCACUUUUGAUCUUGAUAGUCUGAUAGAAAGUAGUCGAUGGCAUAAUUCAAAUACAUGGGAAACUAAGGAAGAGGAACUGAGUCGAGAAGGGCCAAUUAUUUUUGCCACCGUAGCCAGCAGUAGGAUAGGAUUAUGUUGGAACCACUGAGACGACCGUCGUACAUCAAACGGCUCUUCCGUGCCGUCGGCUAUUCACCGAAUAAUGAAUAAUCACCGCUCACAAAAUCCGCAUUCUUUCGACCCCGAAUUAUGAUUGCAGAGAUAUUGGUGAUUGUCGAUUGUUGGGGGGAGAGGGCAUUGGCACGGAUGAUCCGGCAGAUGUACGACAAGGACGUGGCAAGUAACUUAUCAUAUUUGAAUGGAUCAGUAGUAAUGUAACCACCAGCGCUUUUGUCGGUUUUGUUCUGUAGGUUAAUAAUACUUUUUGUGACUCUGACAUUUAUGCAGCGAACGGAGCCAAACAUGGAGCCAAUUUCUUUUUUAAUUUGUGCCACUACAUUGAAAAAAUCAAAAAUGUUUUACUGAAAAACUACGAAUAAAUGAAC